CCUGUCCUACGGGAGGCAGCAGUAGGGAAUCUUCCACAAUGGACGAAAGUCUGAUGGAGCAACGCCGCGUGAGUGAAGAAGGGUUUCGGCUCGGAAAGCUCUGUUGGUAGUGGAGGAAGAUAGAGGUAGUAACUGGCCUUUAUUUGACGGUAAUUAAUUAGAAAGUCACGGCUAACUCCGUGCCAGCAGCCGCGGUAAUACGUAGGUGGCAAGCGUUGUUCGGAUUUAUUUGGGGUAAAGCGAGUGCAGGCGGGU
This 255-nucleotide ribosomal RNA is filed under the name uncultured bacterium. RNAcentral's name for it is "partial 16S ribosomal RNA". It matches the Rfam family "Bacterial small subunit ribosomal RNA", at positions 333 to 580 of the family's 1533-position model. The record is from RNAcentral.